UUUGAAUGUAAAUUUUGUUUAGAAAAUUUGCCAUCUCAAAUGUUGUAGAUGUAGUUCAUAUGAGCAUGAAUUUUGGAGCUAAAAUUUGGUGCCAUGUUUUUUGGGGAUUUUCGGCCAAAUCCAAAGGGUGAUUUUUUGGGUUCUUGUUUGACUUGUUAAAAGUGUUUUGAGGUGACUUUUGGAACCCCUAAGUACCCUAGGAUGUUAGCCCCAUUUUGAAUGGUGAAAAUUUGAGUUUUAUUGAGUGAAAAUGUUCAUGGAGCUCUUAUGGGUUUUCAUGGAUAUUCUUCAAUGUUCUUGAUGUUCUUGCCAAGAACAAAAAGGUUUGUUGUUUUGAUUCAAAGUUUUGAUUUAUUUCAUAAAGU
Molecule: long non-coding RNA, 365 nt
Filed under: Malus domestica (apple)
Lineage: Eukaryota; Viridiplantae; Streptophyta; Magnoliopsida; Rosales; Rosaceae
Description: long non-coding RNA (MDOM_LNC017025)
Source: RNAcentral